AGUGAACGCUGGCGGUAGGCCUAACACAUGCAAGUCGAACGGCAGCACAGUAAGAGCUUGCUCUUACGGGUGGCGAGUGGCGGACGGGUGAGGAAUACAUCGGAAUCUACUUUUUCGUGGGGGAUAACGUAGGGAAACUUACGCUAAUACCGCAUACGACCUACGGGUGAAAGCAGGGGAUCUUCGGACCUUGCGCGAUUGAAUGAGCCGAUGUCGGAUUAGCUAGUUGGCGGGGUAAAGGCCACCAAGGCGACGAUCCGUAGCUGGUCUGAGAGGAUGAUCAGCCACACUGGAGCUGAGACACGGUCCAGACUCCUACGGGAGGGAGCAGUGGGGAAUAUUGGACAAUGGGCGCAAGCCUGAUCCAGCCAUACCGCGUGGGUGAAGAAGGCCUUCGGGUUGUAAAGACCUUUUGUUGGGAAAGAAAAGCAGCAGGUUAAUACCCCGCUGUUCUGACGGUACCCAAAGAAUAAGCACCGGCUAACUUCGUG
This 491-nucleotide ribosomal RNA is filed under the name uncultured bacterium. RNAcentral's name for it is "partial 16S ribosomal RNA". It matches the Rfam family "Bacterial small subunit ribosomal RNA", at positions 29 to 507 of the family's 1533-position model. The record is from RNAcentral.